UGCACAGCCUUCGAUGUUUCCUGACCUUCUCCAUCCUCAGAGAUGGUGUAAAAGGGAAGAUCACCAAGACACUGCUUAAUAGUUGCAAUUCCACUCUCAACCUCCGAAAGAGACAAACAAUACUCACCAAUUAUCCACAGAGCACAAGAACAAACCCUAGCAGCCCGAAUCUGAUAGAAAGUAUCCAAAAGCCUAGUGAUGAUAGAAACACGCAGCUUCGGGUUCGUCUCAAUAAUCUCCCGUACGAAAACAACCACAUCCAUAGCAGAUGCAACAUUCGUGUCUCCCAAGAAAUCCAUCAACAAAUGCACAACAGUACUCGCCACCUCCGGAAACUUGAUAGCACAAGUAUGAAUUGCCUGCACCAACAUCUGCCUAUACUCCCCAUUCUUCUCAUGCUCCCCGCUCUGCGUCUUAACAACCUCCUUCUUAAGCAUCAUAACAACCUGAUCAAUAUUCUUCGGCGUAAUAAGCUCAAGAGCAAUAUCAAUAGUCUUUCUCCUAAUAUCAUGAUUAGGAGUCGAUAACGCCCUAAGCACAUCCAUAACCAUAUCAACCAUAAUCUCCCUAUUAUCCCUCUUAAGCUCGUUAAGCCGAUCAAGCACAAUAAGCUUCACAUUGUUAUCACUCUGAGAAAGCAAUAACUGACAAUAAGUAUUCGCAGCCGCUUUAAUCGCGGUUGGUGCAGAACUAAGCGAAACAAGCGUACCAGCACAUUCAUAAACAACAGCAGUAGAAUUAGCACUCAACAAAGAAAUAAUAAUCUUAAUAUAUUUCCCUUUCUCCCCCUUAUUAUUCCUACAAACUUUCUUAAUCAAUUCCAACACCACCAUUUGUAACUGUUCCCCCCAAUCAAUAAUCCUAUCAAUAUUUGUAAAAAGAUAAUUCACAGCACGAUCUUGAGCACACGAAAACAGCAUUAAAAACGCGUUCCUCUUACUCGAAGCAUCUUGCUCCGAAACAAGAAAUUUCUCAACAAUCUCAGGAGCAGAAUCAAGUAACUGUUCCCCUUGAGGAAGCUUAUAAACAGACAUAACAGCGAGAACAGCAUUUCGCCUCACGAAAGGAUGACGAUGCUCCAGAUUUGAUAAAAUCGAAGGAAUCAACGGUUCAACGAUCUCAGAUUCGUUAAUUCUGCAAAGAAACCGUAAAGUAACACCGCGAAUGAAUUCAUUCGGGGAUUGAAGAUUAUUACGAAGAUUUUGACAGAUUAGGAU
RNAcentral lists this long non-coding RNA (1217 nucleotides) under Medicago truncatula (barrel medic). RNAcentral's name for it is "lncRNA gene20346". The record is from RNAcentral. Lineage: Eukaryota; Viridiplantae; Streptophyta; Magnoliopsida; Fabales; Fabaceae.